UGGGGAAUCUUCCGCAAUGGACGAAAGUCUGACGGAGCAACGCCGCGUGAGUGAAGAAGGUUUUCGGAUCGUAAAACUCUGUCUUUUGGGGCGAACGUGAGUAUGGUGAACAAUCAUAGUCAGUGACGGUACCAAAGGAGGAAGCCACGGCUAACUACGUGCCAGCAGCCGCGGUAAUACGUAGGUGGCAAGCGUUGUCCGGAAUUAUUGGGCGUAAAGAGCGCGUAGGCGGGAUAGUCAGUCUGUUGUAAAAGUGCGGGGCUCAACCCCGUGAUGGCAAUGGAAACAGCUAUUCUUGAGUGCAGGAGAGGAAAGUGGAAUUCCCAGUGUAGCGGUGAAAUGCGUAGAUAUUGGGAGGAACACCAGUGGCGAAGGCGACUUUCUGGACUGUGUCUGACGCUGAGGCGCGAAAGCCAGGGGGAGCGAACGGGAUUAGAUACCCCGGUAGUCCUGGCCGUAAACGAUGGGUACUAGGUGUGGGAGGUAUCGACCCCCUUCCGUGCCGGAGUUAACGCAAUAAGUACCCCGCCUGGGGAGUACGGUCGCAAGACUGAAACUUAAAUGAAUUGACGGGGUCAUAGCUGUUUCC
RNAcentral lists this ribosomal RNA (589 nucleotides) under uncultured bacterium. Its description in RNAcentral is "partial 16S ribosomal RNA". It matches the Rfam family "Bacterial small subunit ribosomal RNA", at positions 355 to 937 of the family's 1533-position model. The record is from RNAcentral.